CUGCGCAGGCGCUGCAGUGGCCUGGAUUUGCUUUCAAGCCGUAGAAGAAGAAGAGAAGGAAGAGGAUUCAUUUCGUCCGUGUUGUUGUUUUCGGAAAGCUAAUACUGCGCUGUAAUUUGUCAGAGUCCACUGCAACUUUCUCCGAAUUAUAUCGGAAUGAUCGGUGGCCAUUAUGCACUCAGUCUACGUUCCCACCCUCACCUCCGGGUACGAGCUGUGGGUCGCGAUCGAAAGAACAAGAUCCCGGAUACAAGCGCCCGAAAGGAGUUUAGACCUUAGACCUUCUCACCCUUCGAGAUAGGCUGAGAAGCCCGGUCAUCCGAGAGGGGCUCAGUGUCAGCAACCACGCAAACCAAUGUUUGGACUUGAAAACUUAACUGACCUUCAAACCCUGACCCAGCUCGGUUGAAAACUUGAAACCUCAACCUUGGCUAAAAUCCCUCACCCUGGCUUGAAACCAUAAUUUAAAACCCAAAGUCUUAGCGCAAGAAACAUGAACACUGGCUAGAAACUCUUAACUUGAGAAAUCUUUGCUAGUGACCCCGACCCUGGCUCGAAGGUGUAUUUUGAAACCUAUUCUGGAAACCCGAGGGGAUUCUGGGAAUCCCUGCAAAAACUACUGUCCCCGUGACCCGAAAUUAACCACGGGGGUGUGGGGGGGGGGGUGCAAAAAAAAAAAAAAACGAAAAGCCAGGAAAAUUAAUUCAGAAUCAGAAACUUGAUCAUCCACUUUAGUUAUUGAAAAAUAAUCGAUAACACUACCUGUGACACUAGUUAUCAAAGUUGGAUUAUUUGUCAUUAUGAGAUGAAUUUAUAUACGCUGUACUGCAGUUUAUACAGAACACGCUAACUUUACCAUAAAAAGUGUUCUUGUUCCAGAAUGCAGUCACCCCCGUGGGCCGUCCCUUCCCCUGCGCUCGCCCGUCCCGUCGCCGGCGUUUGGGAUAAAACAAGUGUGCUUGUUGAUUUCCAAACGGCUGCAGGCCUUCGUUCGGAGCUAAUCUUCCCCUGAAAAAGAAGCCCCCCCCCCCCCCCCCCCCCCCGCUGCUUCCCGCUGCAUUCACAUGCUACGUGGCUUCAUCUGCAUGACAACGUCGCGCGGAUUAGCCUAAUAGCAUUGGAUCGUUAGCUUUGGCCGUAAUUAACGCUGAACUCAGUUUCCGCUUUUAAUUGCGCUGGAGAGUUACUCCAGUUAUGCCGUGUCUCUUGUUCUUUCUGCUUUUGUUCUACUUCCUGUUUUAUGUUUACUUUCCUCAGGCGUUGUGGAAAUCUGGAUGGUUGGAGUUGGUACUGAGCAACUUUUUUAUGAUCAAAGGACUUUGACUUGGAUCUGUGACUGGUGGUGUGCAAGUUUGUGCUGUCCGAUAAAUAGGACCACUGAGACGUAGACCGGUAGUUUAGCUGAUAUCGCUAUCGCUAGUACUCAAAAGCUAAAUUGUUUCUAUUUACGCUGCUACUGAGCGAUUUUACUUUGGUGAACAAAAGACUUGUGCUUUUUUUGACAAUAAAAAGCACUGUGGAAAAAAAAAAUGGUGCUUUAUUGGCCGAGUCAGCAAUAAUGCUCAAACCAGGCAUAAUGUUACAGUGGAUUGCAAUAAUAGUACUGUAAUUUCAGGCCUAUAAACCGCAACUUUUUUCAUGCGCUUUCAACCCUGCAUCUUAUGCGGUGAUGCGGCUAAUUUUUGCAUUUUUUUCUAUAAGCUGCAAAGGGGCACUCGAGCGGAAAAGGUAAGAGUGAGGGCGGUGGAAUAUAUGUGCCAAGGAAGUUAAUUUUACCGGUAUGUUUUUUUUUUUUUUUUUUUUUUUACCGGCCCUGUUAGCACCGCACUAGCCUUAGCGCCACACUAGCAUGAUGCUGCUGUGUAACUGCUGCGUCUCAGUAAUUUAGAUAUGUUUUGUUAUUAUUUUUUUUUUAACAGGCCUUGUUAGCGCUGUGCUACUGUGUAGCUGCUGUGGCAGGUUUUUUUUUUUUUGUUUGUUUUUUUACCGGUAUGUUUUUUUGGUUUUUAACAGCCCUGUUCGUUGUUUGUUAAGUUAAGCCAAGGUAAUAAAACUUUAAAAACUC
Syngnathoides biaculeatus (alligator pipefish) is the source of this 2065-nucleotide RNA transcript. It is a transcript of the gene named homeobox expressed in ES cells 1-like, with no coding region annotated. The record is from RefSeq and is a predicted model, not a curated record. The transcript is spliced from 2 exons. Lineage: Eukaryota; Metazoa; Chordata; Actinopteri; Syngnathiformes; Syngnathidae.